Molecule: ribosomal RNA, 497 nt
Filed under: uncultured bacterium
Lineage: Bacteria
Description: partial 16S ribosomal RNA
Rfam family: Bacterial small subunit ribosomal RNA
Source: RNAcentral
GAUGAACGCUGGCGGCGUGCCUAAUACAUGCAAGUCGAGCGAACGGACGAGGUGCUUUCUCCUCUUCCGUUAGCGGCGGGCGGGUGAGUAACACGUGGAUCACCUACCUAUUAUACUGGGAUAACUUCGUGCAACCGCUGCUAAUACCGCGUAAUAUAUUUAACCGCAUGGUUCAAUGGUUAAACAGGGUUUUGGUGUCGCUUAUAGAUGGAUCCGCGUUGCCUUAGCUAGUUGGUAAGGUAACGGCUUACCAAGGCUACGAUGCGUAGCCGACCUGAGAGGGUGAUCGGCCACACUGGAACUGAGACACGGUCCAGACUCCUACGGGAGGCAGCAGUAGGGAAUCUUCCGCAAUGGGCGAAAGCCUGACGGAGCAACGCCGCGUGAGUGAUGAAGGCCUUCGGAUCGUAAAACUCUGUUAUUAGGGAAGAACAACUGUGGGAGUAACUAUGGCCGUCUUGACGGUACCUAAUCAGAAAGCCACGGCUAACUACGUG